RNAcentral lists this ribosomal RNA (427 nucleotides) under uncultured bacterium. Its description in RNAcentral is "bacterial SSU rRNA". It matches the Rfam family "Bacterial small subunit ribosomal RNA", at positions 355 to 774 of the family's 1533-position model. The record is from RNAcentral.
UGGGGAAUAUUGGACAAUGGGGGAAACCCUGAUCCAGCCAUGCCGCGUGUGUGAAGAAGGCCUUAGGGUUGUAAAGCACUUUCAGUGGGGAGAAAGGUUUGUCACCUAAUACGUGAUGAAAUUGAUGUUACCCACAGAAGAAGCACCGGCUAACUCCGUGCCAGCAGCCGCGGUAAUACGGAGGGUGCAAGCGUUAAUCGGAAUUACUGGGCGUAAAGCGCACGUAGGUGGUUCGCUAAGUCAGCUGUGAAAUCCCCGGGCUCAACCUGGGACUUGCAGUUGAAACUGGUGAGCUAGAGUAGGGUAGAGGGGUGUGGAAUUCCAGGUGUAGCGGUGAAAUGCGUAGAUAUCUGGAGGAACAUCAGUGGCGAAGGCGACACCCUGGACUCAUACUGACACUGAGGUGCGAAAGCGUGGGGAGCAAACA